GACGAACGCUGGCGGCGCGCCUAACACAUGCAAGUCGAACGGACUUUGCGGGGCUUGCUCUGCAAAGUUAGUGGCGAACGGGUGAGUAACACGUGAGCAACCUGCCUUUUGGAGGGGGACAACGGCCGGAAACGGCCGCUAAUACCGCAUAAUACAGCGAGUGGGCAUCCACAUGCUGUCAAAGAUUUAUCGCCAAAAGAUGGGCUCGCGCCUGAUUAGAUAGUUGGUGGGGUAACGGCUCACCAAGUCGACGAUCAGUAGCCGGACUGAGAGGUUGAACGGCCACAUUGGGACUGAGACACGGCCCAGACUCCUACGGGAGGCAGCAGUGGGGGAUAUUGGUCAAUGGGGGAAACCCUGAACCAGCGACGCCGCGUGAGGGAAGAAGGUUUUCGGAUUGUAAACCUCUGUCAGCGGGGAAGAAAAUGACGGUACCCGCGGAGGAAGCCACGGCUAACUACGUGCCAGCAGCCGCGGUAAUACGUAGGUGGCGAGCGUUGUCCGGAAUUACUGGGUGUAAAGGGAGUGUAGGCGGGACGGCAAGUCAGGCGUGAAAUAUAUGGGCUCAACUCAUAAACUGCGCUUGAAACUGCCAUUCUUGAGUGAAGUAGAGGCUGGCGGAAUUCCAUGUGCACUAGGUGUGGGGGGAUUGAACCCUUCCGUGCCGGAGCUAACGCAAUAAGUGAACCACCUGGGGAGUACGUGCGCAAGCAUGAAACUCAAAGGAAUUGACGGGGGCCCGCACAAGCAGUGGAGUAUGUGGUUUAAUUCGAUGCAACGCGAAGAACCUUACCGGGGCUUGACAUGGAGGCGACAGGUACAGAGAUGUACCCUUCUUCGGACGCCUCACACAGGUGGUGCAUGGUUGUCGUCAGCUCGUGUCGUGAGAUGUUGGGUUAAGUCCCGCAACGAGCGCAACCCUUAUCAUUAGUUGCUACAUUUAGUUGAGCACUCUAAUGAGACUGCCGUUGACAAAACGGAGGAAGGUGGGGAUGAGGUCAAAUCAUCAUGCCCUUUAUGUCCCGGGCUACACACGUACUACAAUGGCGUUUAACAAUGAGGAGCGAAGGGGGGACCCGGAGCAAAUCUCCAAAAAGCGCCUCAGUUCAGAUUGCAGGCUGCAACUCGCCUGCAUGAAGUCGGAAUUGCUAGUAAUCGCGAAUCAGCAUGUCGCGGUGAAUACGUUCCCGGGCCUUGUACACACCGCCCGUCAAACCAUGAGAGUUGGCAACACCCGAAGCCCGUAGCCUAACCGUAAGGAGGGCGCGGUCGAAGGUGGGGUUGAUGAUUAGGGUU
Molecule: ribosomal RNA, 1296 nt
Filed under: uncultured Bacillota bacterium
Lineage: Bacteria; Bacillati; Bacillota
Description: bacterial SSU rRNA
Rfam family: Bacterial small subunit ribosomal RNA
Source: RNAcentral